This 292-nucleotide long non-coding RNA is filed under the name Eucalyptus grandis. RNAcentral describes it as "long non-coding RNA (EGRA_LNC004538)". The record is from RNAcentral. Lineage: Eukaryota; Viridiplantae; Streptophyta; Magnoliopsida; Myrtales; Myrtaceae.
UGCCAUGUAUUGCCAUUUUAGCAUAAUUAUACCUUUAUGUGCUCGUAUAUUGAUUAUGUUGCAUGUUUAAUUUGUAAAUCUAAUUAUGUUUGAUUGCAUGUGUUUAAUUUUAUGGCAAUUAGAAUCUUGAUCAUUAUGAUGCUUACUUUAAUGAUUGCGCACCCGCAUGAUCACCUCAUAUGUUAGUGGAUAAGUAUAAAAUCAAUUCAAACUGCCUGUGAAAAAUCAUUUUGUUAAAAUGAACAAGAUUAGGUACCGAAAGGGCACUAAUUAGUUAAUUAGUGUAAUCAAG